This 1893-nucleotide ribosomal RNA is filed under the name Triticum aestivum (bread wheat). RNAcentral's name for it is "partial small subunit ribosomal RNA". Lineage: Eukaryota; Viridiplantae; Streptophyta; Magnoliopsida; Poales; Poaceae. The record is from RNAcentral.
AUGGGCGGCGGCGGCGGCGCGAGGCCGUUCUUGGCCGUCGUCAUGGCGGUGGCCGUGUUGGCGGCGAUGGUGGCGCCGGCGCGGGGGCGGUUCGUGGUGGAGAAGAGCAGCGUGAGGGUGCUGGCGCCGGAGCACAUCCGGGGGCACCACGACGCCGCCAUCGGCAACUUCGGGGUGCCCGACUACGGCGGCACGCUCACCGGCGUCGUGCUCUACCCGGCCAAGAAGGCCACCGGAUGCGCCGAGUUCCCCGCCAAGUUCAAGUCCAAGUCCGGCCGCCCCGUCGUCCUCCUGCUCGACCGCGGAGAGUGCUAUUUCGCGCUCAAGUCGUGGAACGCGCAGCAGGCGGGCGCGGCGGCGGUGCUGAUCGCGGACACGGUGGACGAGCAGCUGCUGACCAUGGACACGCCGGAGGCGUCCCCCGACACUCGGUACCUCGACAAGCUCAACAUCCCGUCGGCGCUGGUGAACCGCGCCUUCGGGGAGUCGCUGAAGCGCAUGGCGGAGAAGGCCGACGCCGAGGGGGAGGUGGUGGUGAAGCUGGACUGGCGCGAGUCGAUGCCGCACCCGGACGAGCGCGUGGAGUACGAGCUAUGGACCAACAGCAACGACGAGUGCGGCCCCCGGUGCGACGAGCAGGCGGCGUUCGUCAAGAGCUUCCGGGGCCACGCCCAGAUCCUGGAGCGCGGCGGCUACGCGCGCUUCACCCCGCACUACAUCACCUGGUACUGCCCCGAGGCGUUCCGGCUGACGCGGCAGUGCCAGUCGCAGUGCAUCAACCACGGCAGGUACUGCGCGCCGGACCCGGAGGAGGACUUCGGGGAGGGGUACGAGGGGAAGCAGGUGGUGGUGGAGAACCUGCGGCAGCUGUGCGUGCACCGGGUGGCCAACGAGAGCGGGCGGCCGUGGGCGUGGUGGGACUUCGCCAUGGACUACAAGCUGCGGUGCUCCAUGAAGGAGAAGAAGUACAGCAAGGCGUGCGCCGAGGAGGUGGUGGCGUCGCUGGGGCUGCCGCUGGAGAAGGUGCUGGCGUGCAUGGGCGACCCCGACGCCGACGCCGACAACGCCGUGCUGUCCAAGGAGCAGGAGGACCAGAUCGGGCGCGGGUCGAGGGGGGACGUGACCAUCCUGCCCACGCUCGUCAUCAACGACGUCCAGUACAGAGGGAAGCUGGAGAGGACGGCGGUGCUCAAGGCCGUGUGCGCCGGCUUCAAGGAGGGCACCGAGCCGCAAGUCUGCCUCAGCCAUGACAUGGAGACGAACGAGUGCCUGCACCGGAACGGCGGGUGCUGGCGGGACGAGGCGACCAACGUGACGGCGUGCAGGGACACGUACCGGGGCAGGGUGUGCGAGUGCCCCGUGGUGAACGGCGUCCGCUACGACGGCGACGGGUACACCCACUGCAAAGCUGUUGGUCCGGGCAGGUGCGCGCUGAACCACGGCGGGUGCUGGUCGGAGACCAAGGGGGAGCGCACCUUCUCCGCCUGCUCGGACACGGCUCUAUCCGGAUGUCGGUGCCCGGCAGGCUUCCAAGGCGACGGCCACAAAUGCGAAGACCUGGACGAGUGCAAGGAUAAGCUGGCGUGCACCUGCCCGGACUGCCACUGCAAGAACACCUGGGGCAGCUACGAGUGCGGCUGCAGGGGCAACCAGGUGUACAUCCGAGGGGAGGACGUCUGCGUGGCCAACAGCAUGUCCAGGUUCGGCUGGCUCGUCGCCCUCCUCGCCGUCUCCUGCGCCGCCGGCCUAGGGGUCGCCGGCUUCGUCUUCUACAAGUACAGGCUCAGGUCAUACAUGGACUCGGAGAUCAUGGCCAUCAUGUCCCAGUACAUGCCGCUCGACAGCCAGAACAACGAGCACCAGCCGCUCCGGCAGCAUGCUCCAGACGCCUAA